RNAcentral lists this ribosomal RNA (217 nucleotides) under uncultured bacterium. RNAcentral describes it as "partial 16S ribosomal RNA". It matches the Rfam family "Bacterial small subunit ribosomal RNA", at positions 1284 to 1500 of the family's 1533-position model. The record is from RNAcentral.
GUCCCUAGUUCGGAUUGUAGGCUGAAACUCGCCUACAUGAAGCUGGAAUUGCUAGUAAUCACAGGUCAGCAUACUGUGGUGAAUACGUUCCCGGGCCUUGUACACACCGCCCGUCAAACCAUGAGAGUUGGCAACACCCGAAGUCGGUAGUCUAACCGCAAGGAGGACGCCGCCGAAGGUGGGGUUGAUGAUUAGGGUUAAGUCGUAACAAGGUAGC